GGAAGGAAGCCUUGCUCCUCCGGAUCAGUGGCGAACGGGUGAGUAACACGUGAGCAAUCUGCCCCUGACUCUGGGAUAAGCGUUGGAAACGACGUCUAAUACCGGAUACGAGCUGAGAAGGCAUCUUCAGCAGCUGGAAAGAACUUCGGUCAGGGAUGAGCUCGCGGCCUAUCAGGUAGUUGGUGAGGUAACGGCUCACCAAGCCUACGACGGGUAGCCGGCCUGAGAGGGUGACCGGCCACACUGGGACUGAGACACGGCCCAGACUCCUACGGGAGGCAGCAGUGGGGAAUAUUGCACAAUGGGCGAAAGCCUGAUGCAGCAACGCCGCGUGAGGGACGAAGGCCUUCGGGUUGUAAACCUCUUUUAGCAGGGAAGAAGCGAAAGUGACGGUACCUGCAGAAAAAGCACCGGCUAACUACGUGC
This 426-nucleotide ribosomal RNA is filed under the name Agrococcus sp. RNAcentral describes it as "bacterial SSU rRNA". It matches the Rfam family "Bacterial small subunit ribosomal RNA", at positions 69 to 508 of the family's 1533-position model. The record is from RNAcentral. Lineage: Bacteria; Bacillati; Actinomycetota; Actinomycetes; Micrococcales; Microbacteriaceae.